Molecule: small nucleolar RNA, 98 nt
Filed under: Neogobius melanostomus (round goby)
Lineage: Eukaryota; Metazoa; Chordata; Actinopteri; Gobiiformes; Gobiidae
Description: Small nucleolar RNA SNORD16 (ENSNMLG00000003827.1)
Rfam family: Small nucleolar RNA SNORD16
About the family: U16 is a member of the C/D class of snoRNA which contain the C (UGAUGA) and D (CUGA) box motifs. U81 acts as a guanine methylation guide and is found in an intron of ribosomal proteins L1 gene in animals. This snoRNA was independently named MBII-98 in mouse.
Source: Rfam by way of RNAcentral
GGCAGUGAUGGUGUAAUUUGCGUCUGACUCUGUGUCGGUGACAGAAUGCCUACUGUCAUAUACUGACACAGAUGACUGACGAUGACAGACUCUGAGCU